UUUGCAUCCCACCUGCCAAAUAAAAAUGCAAUUCAAUAUAUACAGCCUCAUGCAACACACAUUUCUAAAAUAAUCAUACAAUGCAUUACAUGAGCAAAACAUUAAAGCAAUUCAAAUCAACAACACUUAAACAAUCAAAUCCAAAAUACAAAACAUUUAUUAAUUAAUCCAACAACUACCAAAACACUUAAACAAUCCUAAAGUUUUUUCAUUAGAAUCUACAGGUGUCCGAGAUUUCUUUUUAGCAGUUGACUUCGAACUCUUAUCAGGACGAGGCCAAUCACCAUCACCACCGAAUGUCAUCUGUAUACAAGUUUACAUCAAAACAUAUAAAAAUCAAGUCAUUAGUUCAUAUUUCAUGUGACUACACUUACUAUUUUCAAGUUACUAAUACACAUUUCAAGAUAAAACAAUUAAACCAUUUUCAAAUAUCUAAUUGACAUUUUAUUUCACUAUACUUAACCAUUUUCAAAUAACUAGUAGACAUUUCAAGUAACUACUCUUAACCAUUUUCAAAUAACUAAUUCACAUUGCAAGUCACCACACUUAAAAUAUUUUCAAGUCACUAAUACACAUUUCAAAUCAUUACACUUGACUAUUUUCAAUUAACUAAAUCACACUUCAAGUCAAUAUACUUAAUCAUUUUCAAGUGACUAUACUUCAUUAUUUUAAAGUUAUUAGUACACAUUUCAAGUGACUACACUUAACCAUUUUCAAGCAUCAAGUUCACAAUUUUAAGUAACCACACUUAACCAUUUUUAAGUCACAAGUUCACAUUUUCAAGUAACAACACUUAACCCUUUUCAAGUCACUACAAUUAAUAAUUUUCAAAUAACUUAUUCACUAGUACACAUUUCAAGUCACUAAACUCAAAUCAUUUUCAAAUAGCUAAUUAACAUUUCAAGUCACUAUACUUAAGCAUUUUCAAGUAACUACACUUAACCAUUGUCAAAUAACUAGUAGACAUUUCAAGUCACUACACUUAACCAUGUUCAAAUAACUAAUUCACAUUUCAAGUAACUACACUUAACCAUUUUCAAAUAACUAGUAGACAUUUCAAAUCACUAAACUAAACCAUUUUCAAAUAACUAAUUCAUAUUUCACGUCACUACACUUGACCAUUUUCAAAUAAUUAAUUCACAUUUCAAGUCACUACACCAUUUUCAAAUAACUAAUUGACAUUUCAAGUCACUACACUUAAACAUUCAAUUUAAGUUACUAUACUUAACCACUUUCAAGUAACUAAUUCACAUUUCAAAUACCUAAACUUAACCAUUUUCAAGUCACAAGUUUGCAAUUUUAAGUAACUACACUAAACCAUUUUCAAGUCACUACACUUAAUAAUUUUCAAGUAGCUUAUUCACAUUUCAAGUCACUACACCAUUUUCAAAUAACUAAUUGACAUUUCAAAUAAUUACACACAACCAUUUUCAAGUCAUGUACUAGCAUUUCAAGUCACUACACUUAACUAUUUUCAAUUAACUAAUUCACAUUUUUAAGUCACUAUACUUAACUAUUUUCAAAUAACUACACAUAAUCAUUUUCAAGUCACUAGUACACAUUUCAAGUCACUACACUUAAUCAUUUUUAAAUAACUAAUUCACAUUGCAGGCCACUAUAAAUAUCCACUUUUAAGUAACUAAACUUAACCAUUUUAAAGUCACUAGUAUCACAAAUUUUCAAUGUCAAAACAUAAAAGCAACCAAACACAUCUCACUUGGGCCAAACAAACCUACUCGCGACAUAUCAUUGCAAAGCAACUCUCCAUAGUCAAAUUUUUGCAUAGGUUAAAUUAUGUCUCACAGAGCUAGCAUAACAUCUCGAACUAUGCUAAUGGAUUUUUAAAAAAAUUGGUACCUAAACUACGAUAAUAGUUUUAUCCACAUAGAUUUAAGUCUAUGAACACUAAAUACAGCAAACACAUCCAACUUUAAUUUAAAACUGGUAAUAGUUCUUCAUGCCUUUAAGCCUAUGAAAUAUGCUAAUAGUUUUUUAUAAAAACUGGUAACUAAACUAUGCUAAUAGUUUUAUCCAUAUAGAUUUAAGUCUGUAAAUACUACACAGUUUUAAAAACGUCUGUUUUAAAAAAGUCUACACUCACUAAAUACACCAUUCGCAUCCAACUUGGGCCUUACGAAUAACAUAAUGUACUGGCAACGUAUCAUUGCAAAUCAACUUGCCGAUGGGUUCCGCCGUUUGGAGUCAGUUUUCGGCGAAUCCUCAUCGGUUGAGCACCGACUGGAGGUGGCUGCUAGUAGCAUGGCGGCACUUGGAUGGGCGGUGUCGUCGAGAGAAUAAAAGGAGGGAGGCAGUGGUGCGGCGCUCAUUUUUUGUCGGAUCUGGGCGGGUGCGUUGACGGGUGGAGUACGCCUGCGGGUAGGUGAUUGGAGAAGCAACGUGAGGGCUGUGACAUCGACGCUUGACUGAUGAUCGAGAGAAGGUUUAGGGAGAGAGAGAGAUUGUAAAGAGAAAGGGAGAAGGUGCGGCUGGCUGUUUGUGGAAAUGGAUUAGGGUUCCUCUUUUUUGUGUAUAUAAAAGGAAAG
This 2543-nucleotide long non-coding RNA is filed under the name Capsicum annuum. RNAcentral's name for it is "long non-coding RNA (CANN_LNC003014)". Lineage: Eukaryota; Viridiplantae; Streptophyta; Magnoliopsida; Solanales; Solanaceae. The record is from RNAcentral.